RNAcentral lists this unclassified non-coding RNA (561 nucleotides) under Hevea brasiliensis (rubber tree). Lineage: Eukaryota; Viridiplantae; Streptophyta; Magnoliopsida; Malpighiales; Euphorbiaceae. The record is from RNAcentral.
ACCACAGAAUACACUCAUCAACCUGCACCAUAGAAUAGAAACCAUGCAGUUCUGCGUCUUAGACUGUCAUCAGCUUUCAUAAUAAGUUAAAUAACUUACAAUCAUGAUAGAUAUUGCUUGUUCAUAAUGAAGGCUAAUUGCCUAUUAAUAGCCAUAAAUCACUCUUCAUUGAUGAAAGGAAAAAAUUGGAUAAAGAAAGUUGAGAAAAUUACAAAAGCAAUGUAAACAAACAAAAACCUUAUAGACAAAUCAUUCUCAACUCUAAUUUAAGAUCUGAAAAAGAACAAGUGAAAGACAGGUCAAUAAUUCUUGAUAAGAAUUUUUCAGCAUUUCCUUCCCUUUAUAGAUCUUUCAGAUUCAAAUAAAGGCUGAAGCAUUUGAACCAUAAUGAUACAUAAAAGUUGAUAUGACUACAGACUAAGAAUAACCUUAUUGAAGUUGAGGAGCAUUAACUUAUGCUAAGGCCUUGAAUGUCCCAAUUUAUCCAUUCUUAUUGAAGCAUAUGACAGUAAUGCAUUAAACUCGGCAGGACUGACUAACCUCCUUCCUAAAAAUCUUGGA